Molecule: long non-coding RNA, 881 nt
Organism: Herpailurus yagouaroundi (jaguarundi)
Lineage: Eukaryota; Metazoa; Chordata; Mammalia; Carnivora; Felidae
Exons: 5
Source: RefSeq, a predicted model, not a curated record
AGGAAGUUGGCUCAGGUGAAGUCUUCUUGGUGUGCCCGCAGUCCUCUAUUUUUUGUACCUCUGGAGGGAGAGGGAGCAAAAGGCUCGCGGGUUUCCUUACCUACACCAAACAUGUGGUAGGGAUACUCACUGAACACAAGUGUGGCACCAUCUUUCAUUUGCUUACCGUCUUGAGAAGAUAAAGGCAAAAGAAAUGGUUGUGCAGUGAGGCCUCUAAGAAGUAAACCUAAGAGAGUAAAGGAAAAGAUUUUUCUUCCCAACAGCCAUAGAUGUUACUGCAAAAUAACUUAAUUUUGGAGUCAGUUACCCAUAGUCCACUGUGGUCUAGAAGCAGAUGAUCUUGCUGAUAUAUCAUCGGAAGGUCCAUGGUAGCCUAAUGCUACAUCACAACGCCUGUCACUCACUUCACUUCAUUUCAUCAUGUAGCAUUUUAUCAUCUCAUAGCAUCACAUGAAGAAGGUUUCAGUUAUCUGUGAUCAACCACAGUCUGGAAACAGAUGAUCCUCCUUCUGACAAAUGGUCAGCAGAUCAGUAGCAGCCUAACGCUACGUCACGCUGCCUGCAUCAUUCGCCGCACUUCAUCUCGUUUCAUGGGCAUUUUGUCAUCUCACAUCAUCACAAGAAGGGUGAGUACAAUACAAUGAGAUAUUCUGAGAGAGAGAGAGAGAGAUAGAGCGAGCAUAUUCACAUAAUGUUUAUUAUACCAUGUUGUUAUUUCUGUUCUACUUUAUCAUUAGUUAUUAUUCAUCUCCCACUAUGCCUAAUUCAUAAGUUAAACCUUAUCAUAGGCAUGUGUGCAUAGGAAAAAAACAUAGUAUAUAGGGUCGGUACUAUCUGCAAUUUCAGGUAUCCACUGGAGUUCUUGGAACAUAUUCUCUACA